Molecule: transfer RNA, 70 nt
Filed under: Centropyge multifasciata (barred angelfish)
Lineage: Eukaryota; Metazoa; Chordata; Actinopteri; Pomacanthidae
Description: Paracentropyge multifasciata tRNA-His
Rfam family: tRNA
About the family: Transfer RNA (tRNA) molecules are approximately 80 nucleotides in length. Their secondary structure includes four short double-helical elements and three loops (D, anti-codon, and T loops).
Source: RNAcentral
GUGGGUAUAGUUUCAAUAAAAAUGCUAGAUUGUGAUUCUAAAGACAGAGGUUAAAAUCCCCUUACCCACC